CUUCCCGAGCGGCGACGCGGCUUUGUGGACUACCCGAGGCCCUGGGGAGGGUGGCCUUUAGAUGAGCCUGUCUCCUGGAAUGCUUGGGCGGUGGCUGAGACGCUUUGCGAUGGAUCCCCCCGCCCCAAAUGUUUCCAGCAGAUAAGCACGUUCCUAGGACACAAGUUCCUUGGAUUUCAGAUGUUGAGAGGCAAGAGCAAAGGGUUCUACCGGAUGAUUAAGACAAAUCAGAUUCCUGUCCUGGAAGUCAUAGGCGCUUAUUCAUCCACACAGAUCUGCAGAUUUCGGUACCUACUUCUCCAGAAUCUACUUUGCUCAUGAAAGGUACAUGCAGUGGAGUAAUUACAAGACAUCAUUGCCUGAGUCUUCCUAUUGCCCACGGGGGCCCUAACCUGAAGGUGUGGGGUUCGAGGUGGUGCCCUGACAGGUUGUGUCAGCCUGUGGUGACUGACGCUGGAUGCACAUAAGUACUGGAGGAAAAGCUUCUUCCCUAGAUACCUCUCUUAGAACAGUGCCUUGAACCUAACAGUUGUGCAGUCACCUUUUGUGAAUGAAGAAGCAGAUGAAUGCAUGAACACACACCCAGGACAAGCUUUAUGGUCCACUCAGGAUCUCACUAUGCAGUUCAGGCUAGCAUUGAAGUCACUAUGUAUCCUAGACUGAUCUCAAACUCGAGGUGAUCUUCCUGCCUCAGCUUCCCUAGUGCUGGGACUACAGAUGGAGAAUUUUGGUGGGUCAAGAGCCCCAAACUCACAAAAAAAAUAACUGGAUCUAAAACAUGAGAGCAUAUUGAGCACCUACUCUUCAUGAGCACCUACUCUUUACUCAAGAUUCAACCUGCCGCCUGGAGUGGACCAGCUGCCAUCUUGAAUCAUGAAGCUGGGACCUUGGACAGCAGAGCAAGAAGACAGAAGAGACCUGGAUCUCUGGUUAUGGAGAACCAGACAGUCCUGGAUCUUAUACGUGGAUACAUAUAUACAUUAACUUUUGUACUUUUAAAGACACUGUGAUUUAGGUUUUUUUCCUGGUAUUUAUAAACUGAAUCUAAGCAUGCAGAGGAGAAUCUAAGAUGCAGAG
Molecule: long non-coding RNA, 1077 nt
Filed under: Heterocephalus glaber (naked mole-rat)
Lineage: Eukaryota; Metazoa; Chordata; Mammalia; Rodentia; Bathyergidae
Description: lncRNA (ENSHGLG00100041768.1)
Source: RNAcentral